GGCGAACCGAGUGAACUGAAACAUCUAAGUAGCUCGAGGAAAAAGACAUCAACCGAGAUUCCGAAAGUAGUGGCGAGCGAAAUCGGAGGAGCCUUCUAGUGAUAGUCAGACGGUUAACAAAGCGGCAUGGAAAGGCCGGCCAUAGUGGGUGAUAGCCCCGUAUGUGAAAACCGACUGGUGGUACUGAGCUAGAGAAAAGUAGGGCGGGGCACGAGAAACCCUGUCUGAACAUGGGGGGACCAUCCUCCAAGGCUAAAUACUCAUCAUCGACCGAUAGUGAACCAGUACCGUGAGGGAAAGGCGAAAAGAACCCCGGGAGGGGAGUGAAAUAGAUCCUGAAACCGCAUGCUUACAAAAAGUAGGAGCCCGCAAGGGUGACUGCGUACCUUUUGUAUAAUGGGUCAGCGACUUACAUUCAGUGGCGAGCUUAACCGAAUAGGGGAGGCGUAGAGAAAUCGAGUCCGAACAGGGCGUUCAGUCGCUGGGUGUAGACCCGAAACCAAGUGAUCUAUCCAUGGCCAGGAUGAAGUGCCGUAACAGGUACUGGACGG
Molecule: ribosomal RNA, 551 nt
Filed under: uncultured bacterium
Lineage: Bacteria
Description: bacterial LSU rRNA
Rfam family: Bacterial large subunit ribosomal RNA
Source: RNAcentral